GAGUUUGAUCGUGGCUCAGAACGAACGCUGGCGGCAUGCCUAACACAUGCAAGUCGAACGAGACCUUCGGGUCUAGUGGCGCACGGGUGCGUAACGCGUGGGAAUCUGCCCUUGGGUUCGGAAUAACAGUUAGAAAUGACUGCUAAUACCGGAUGAUGUCUUCGGACCAAAGAUUUAUCGCCCAGGGAUGAGCCCGCGUCGGAUUAGCUAGUUGGUGAGGUAAAGGCUCACCAAGGCGACGAUCCGUAGCUGGUCUGAGAGGAUGAUCAGCCACACUGGGACUGAGACACGGCCCAGACUCCUACGGGAGGCAGCAGUGGGGAAUAUUGGACAAUGGGCGAAAGCCUGAUCCAGCAAUGCCGCGUGAGUGAUGAAAGCCUUAGGUUGUAAAGCUCUUUUACCCGGGAUGAUAAUGACAGUACCGGAAGAAUAAGCCCCGGCUAACUCCGUGCCAGCCGCCGCAA
RNAcentral lists this ribosomal RNA (464 nucleotides) under uncultured Alphaproteobacteria bacterium. RNAcentral's name for it is "bacterial SSU rRNA". It matches the Rfam family "Bacterial small subunit ribosomal RNA", at positions 9 to 520 of the family's 1533-position model. The record is from RNAcentral. Lineage: Bacteria; Pseudomonadati; Pseudomonadota; Alphaproteobacteria.